Non-coding RNA from Parelaphostrongylus tenuis, 71 nucleotides. The record is from the annotation of a GenBank genome assembly. Lineage: Eukaryota; Metazoa; Nematoda; Chromadorea; Rhabditida; Metastrongylidae.
GCUUCUGAGGUGUAGUGGUAGCACACACCCCCGGUAUUGGUGAGACGCGUGUUCAACUCCCGCCGGAGGUU